This is a long non-coding RNA of Neofelis nebulosa (Clouded leopard), 834 nucleotides long. RefSeq lists it as uncharacterized. NCBI's taxonomy places the organism in Eukaryota, Metazoa, Chordata, Mammalia, Carnivora, Felidae. The record is from RefSeq and is a predicted model, not a curated record. The transcript is spliced from 2 exons.
GAACAUGUGAAGGCUUUUUUUGUGUGUGUGAACCGAGACGGGCUUCAGUUAUGCUCUGUGUGUCGGUGAAGAGGCACCGUGAACUCCCAGGUCGGCCGGCAAAGGGCCGAUGUCUGAGGCUUCGCUCCGUUCCGGCAGCUGGUUAGCAACACGGAGCUGUGGAUGUUUCCAGGGGAGGAAAUGAAUACACAGGCGUCGGGGGUGAAGGAGGCCAAGUGCGUGGAGUCGGCCGAGAGGUGGAUUCGGUGGAAAGACGGACACAGAGUGUCCUCUGUAGACGCGAUGUGGAACCGGUUCCCAGGGAGCCAGUCAGGAAACCAGAAUCGGAGGAAAAAUGUGAGAAAAUGCAGCAAGUGGAAGAGAAUAAAAACCACUCCUCAUCGACCGCGCAGAGAUAACCACCCCUGUGACCAUUCUGGUCUACGCUUCUUUCCUGGCCUCCCACCUCUCCUCUCUGCUUAUUCCUCUCCUAUUGUUGGGCCGUUUAGGAGUUCCCUGCUGUUACACAUAGCAUUUCAGCAAGCAUCCUUGAAACCAAGACUUUGCAUGGAAGCUAAAUGACUCCUUUGGAUAUGUACCCAGCAAAGGGAGUAUUGGGCCAUCUGGGAUAGACAUUUAAGACUUGUCACACAGGUCACCAAACUGGUGGACAGGAACGUGAGAGUACUCAAUGUACUGCUUUUACCCUGCUGGCAAUGUGGUUUUCUCCUUUACUCACUCAGCCUUUACCCACUCUUCCUAAUUUGGUAGCAAGGCCAAAAAACAAACAAACAAAAAACCAGUGUCCUGUUUCAGUGCUCAACUUCCUUUAUUAUGUAAUGAAGUUGAAAACUA